Molecule: long non-coding RNA, 341 nt
Filed under: Scleropages formosus (Asian bonytongue)
Lineage: Eukaryota; Metazoa; Chordata; Actinopteri; Osteoglossiformes; Osteoglossidae
Description: lncRNA (ENSSFOG00015030614.1)
Source: RNAcentral
UAGCAUCAGCACCGCGAUCUCCGCGGGAUGGACUCAGCGCUGGGUCGCGGCAAACCGGAGCCUGACCCGGCAGCACAGGGCGCAAGGCUGGAGGGGGAGGGGACACACCCAGGACAGGACGCCAGUCCAUCACAAGACACCCCAAGCAGGACUCGAACCCCAGACCCACCAGAGAGCGGGACCUGGCCAGACCUGCUGCACCACCGCACCCCCCCUUGGAUGUGAAUGUAUCCUAAACUAAAUUUAAGAACUCUUCACUUUUCCUUACGGCUUGGCAGCCGGUAUUUGCUAGAACACAUGGCUUUGUACAUGAAUAUAGAAUGAUUUUGCAACGACUCCAG